CGGAGGGAUCAUUGCUGG
This 18-nucleotide ribosomal RNA is filed under the name Cytospora sp. XJ-ALAER-1. Its description in RNAcentral is "partial 18S ribosomal RNA". The record is from RNAcentral. Lineage: Eukaryota; Fungi; Ascomycota; Sordariomycetes; Diaporthales; Cytosporaceae.